UGUGUGAACGUUCAAAAUGUGCCACACUCCGCCCAUUUACGGUGCUGACUGUGUACCUUCGCGGGAUCCGCUGCUGCCCUGGCCAUCUGCCUUGCUGCUUGCUGCCCUGUCACAGUUGCCCUCUUACCCGCCCCUGCUUCCAGGGAAGCUCACUCCAAAGAACUAUGAGAGUUGAAGACACUGCUGACAUGAGGCAUCAACCUCCCAGUGCCUGCUUUCAAGUCAGAGACAUGCCAUACUUGCCUCUGCAAGUCUACAUUCCUUUAUAUAUCACUGCUAAUUGCCAGAAUAUUACUUUUUCUGGGAACAGUCUCUCUCUGGUCUCAAUGAGGAGCUCUACAUAGAGUGAGAAUCCUUACUUGGGAAAAGUUUUAUUGGGAACAUGAGUCUUGGCAUCUGGUAGAAGAGCUGAUGCAGCUGAUCUGAACAGACCUCGUGGCCUCUGUGCUUCCAGCUGCCCCCU
Non-coding RNA from Phasianus colchicus (ring-necked pheasant), 463 nucleotides. Lineage: Eukaryota; Metazoa; Chordata; Aves; Galliformes; Phasianidae. The record is from RefSeq and is a predicted model, not a curated record.